CCUUUGCGGGUCUGAAACUGGCCGCUGCGCACGGGGCGGAGUCGGGGCCGGGAGCGCGCCCCCUCCUGCGGCAGGACGCGCUCGGGGACCGAGUCUCGUUACAGUCAGGACUUCUGCUGGGCAGGGUCAGCUGUUAAUCCUCAAGGCGGAUACCGGGGCGGUGGGGAGAUGGGGCAUAUGGGUGGUGUCCGUCGGUGAGAAACACCUAGCACAGAAAAAGGGUGGCGGCGAGAGGGAGUUCCCACCUGUUGGCGUUCUUCCAGAAAUAAAGACUUGAGAAAAUACCAAGGAGGGGCCGAUCGGUGUGUUUCGGACGCGCCUAGAACCCCACCCUCGGUCAGAGGAAAAGCUCCUGGGGUGAGACGCAGGAGCUUCAGAAAAACCAAGAAGAAAAGCAGCUCCCUCCGCGCGCCACGUCCUCUGCCUCGCACUCCUGCGCGGCCGGCCCAGCCUGCGCCUGGCCCGCGGCCCUUCGCCUGGCUGCGCCUUCCCACCCCGGCCUUCCGGGUGCCUCAGCCGGCGACCUGCCUCCGAGUCCUCCCAUGGCGGUAGCGCGACCCACAGGCUCCGCGAGCGGAGCCCUUUGCUGGCAACUCCUGCUGACCCUCGCGAUCUUAACAUUUGCCUGUGAUGCCUGCAAAACAGUGACACUACAUGUUCCCUCCAAACUAGAUGCUGUAAAAUAUAUUGGUAGAGUUAACCUGAAGGAAUGCUUUAAAUCUGCAAAUCUAAUUCAUUCAAGUGAUCCUGAUUUCCAAAUUUUAGAAGAUGGUUCAGUCUAUACAACAAAUGCCAUUCUUUUGUCCUCAGCGAAGAGAUCUUUUACCGUAUUACUUUCCAACACAGAUACCCAAGAAGAGAAGAAAAUACUUGUCCUUUUAGAGCAACAAACAAAGGUACUGAGGAAAAGGCGUUCUCAAGAAAAAGUUCUAAUACGUGCCAAGAGAAGAUGGGCUCCUAUUCCUUGUUCAGUGUCUGAGAAUUCCUUGGGUCCUUUCCCACUUUUUCUUCAACAGAUUCAAUCUGAUACAGCACAAAACUACACUAUUUACUAUUCCAUAAGUGGGCCUGGAGUUGACAAAGAACCUCUAAAUUUAUUUUAUGUAGAGAGAGAUACUGGAAACCUGUUUUGUACUCGUCCUGUAGAUCGUGAAAAGUAUCCAUCUUUUGAGCUAGUUGCCUUUGCAACAACUAAGGAUGGAUAUACUCCAGAAUUUCCACUGCCCCUACUAAUCAGAAUCGAGGAUGAGAAUGAUAACUUCCCAAUUUUUACAGAAACAACUUACAUUUUUAAUGUUUCUGAAAACUGCAGAGUUGGUACUACCGUGGGACAGGUUUGUGCAACUGACAAAGAUGAGCCUGACACACUGCACACGCGUCUAAUGUACUCCAUCAUCGAGCAGUUACCAGCAUCACGCACCCUCUUUUUUAUGCAGCCAGCUACAGGUGUGAUCACCACAACAUCAUCUCAGCUAGACAGAGAGGUAACUGAUAAAUACCAAUUGAAAAUAAAAGUACAAGACAUGGAUGGUCAAUAUUUUGGUUUGCAGACAACUGCAACUUGCAUCAUUAAUAUUGGAGAUGUGAAUGACAACUUGCCAACAUUCAACCGUUUAUCUUAUGAGACAUCAGUGGAGGAAAAUAUAAUUGAUGUGGAAAUCUUACGUGUUGCCGUUACGGAUAAGGAUUUAAUUAAUACUGCUAAUUGGAGAGCUAAUUAUACCAUUUUAAAGGGCAAUGAAAAUGGAAAUUUUAAAAUUGUAACAGAUCCCAAAACCAAUGAAGGAGUUCUGUAUGUGGUUAAGCCACUGAAUUAUGAAGAAAAACAAGAGAUGACCCUACAAAUCAGUGUAGUUAAUGAAGCUCCAAAUUUUGCUAGUUCGAGAUCAACCAUGAGCAUGGCGACAGUCACUGUUAAUGUACAAAAUCAGGAUGAAGGCCCUGAGUGUCGCCCUGCAGUGCAAAUUGUUCGUAUUAAAGAAAAUGCACCAGGGAGCACAAAGGGCAUUGGAUAUAAAGCACAUGACCCGGAAACAAAUAGUAGCAGUGGCAUAAGGUAUAAGAAAUUAAGUGAUCCAGAAGGAUGGGUCAGUGUUGAUGAAAACUCAGGAUCAAUCACAAUUUUAAGAAGCCUGGAUAGAGAGGCAAGGACCAUCAGAAAUGGUAUAUAUAAUAUUACAAUCCUUGCCUCAGACAAAGGUAAGAACUUUAGAACAUGUACUGGGACACUAGGGAUUAUACUUGAAGACGUGAAUGAUAACGGCCCAUUCAUACCUCAAAAGACGGUGAUAAUCUGUAAAACUGUCAUGUCAUCGGCGGAGAUUGUGGCCGUAGAUCCCGAUGAACCCAUACACGGCCCACCCUUUGACUUCAGUUUGGAAGGUGUUUCUGAUUCAGAAGUACUUAGAAUGUGGAGACUGACAAAAAUUAACGAUACAGCAGCACGUCUUUCCUAUCUGAAUGACCUCCAGUUUGGAGAAUAUACAGUACCUGUCAGAGUUGCAGAUAGGCUUGGCCAAUCACUUGUCACUCAGUUAAAGGUGAUAUUAUGUGACUGUGUUACCCAAAGUGACUGCGACAUUCGCUCAUCUGUGAUUCCCAGAAGACUGAUACUUGGAAAGUGGGCCAUCCUUGCAAUAGUGUUGGGCAUAGCAUUGCUAUUUUGUGUCCUAUUUACCUUAGUCUGUGGGGCUACUGGGGCAGCCAAAAAGCCAAAAGUAUUUCCCGAUGAUUUAGCCCAGCAGAACCUCAUUGUAUCAAACACUGAAGCUCCCGGCGAUGACAAAGUGUAUUCCACCAACGGCUUCACAACCUAUACUAUGGGAGGCUCCACUCAGGGAAUUUGCAGCACCCUGGGAUCCGGAGUGAAAAACGGAGGGCAGGAGACCAUUGAAAUGGUGAAAGGAGGGCAGACCGUUGAGCCCUGCCAGGAGGCCGGGCAUCAUCACACCCUGGGAUUGUGUAAGGGAGGUGGACAGCACACCCUGGAUUCCUGCAGAGGAGGACAAGUAGAGGCAGACAACUGCAGAUACGCAUACUCCGAUUGGUACACCUACACUCAGCCCCGUCUUGGUGAAGAAUCCAUUAGAGGACACACUCUGAUUAAAAAUUAAACAAUGAAAGAAGGUCCAGCUGUGUAAUCAGGAUAACAGUCAUACGCAUGCACAAGACUACGUCCGGACGUAUAACUAUGAAGGAAAAGGAUCGGCGGCUGGUUCUGUGGGUUGUUGCAGUGAACGACAAGAAGAAGAUGGGCUUGAAUUUUUGGAUCAUUUGGAACCCAAAUUUAGGACACUAGCAGAAGCAUGCAUGAAGAGAUGAGUGUGUUCUAUUUAGUCUACAAAAGCCAGUGGCUUUAAUUGUCUCUUUUAAAUUAUUAUUACAAGCCAGGAUUUUUUUAAAAAUAGAAGAUGCUGUUUUGGGGGCUUUUCCCCUUUAUUUUGUUGAGAUCUCUUUAGCCACAUGUGCUUUUACAGAGGGAUGCUGUGAACAACUACACAAAUUUCCUGAUUUUUCCAUAGUUUUUAAAUACUUGUCUUCCACCUAAGGACACCUGCAGAUAGACAAGUUGAGACAGUCUGCAUUAUUGUUUACAUUUGGGUAUAGUGACAGCAGCCAAUUUGUAGUGCAAUAAUAUGUAAUUAACUCAAGUCUAUAUCAUAGACUACUUGGAGUAUAACCGAAUGGAAAAUUGAAGAGGUCUUGCUCUAACAUUAUCUUCAGUUACCUAAAUUAAUUGUUUGUGUGGUGCUUGAAGACUGUUGUUCUCCUAAACAUUCUAAAGUGUAUACACUGCAUUCUUGCUAUUGUUUUAGUCUUGUAACAUGACCUUGCUUCAUAAAGCAAAGGGAGAUUCCCAACUAAGCGUUGACUGUUAUUAUAAUUCCACUUUGGUGGACUUUAGUUUUUGUGUUGUAUUCUCUGUGAAAUCCGGCACUGAAUCUACAUUUCCUCUGUUACCCACCUUCUCCGCAAAAUUUAAAUUAAAAAAAUGCUGAGGAAUGUAUUUUUUACUCCUGCAAGGUUUUGGUCUUUGGUCCCCGCCACUCCCCACCACCCCUUCUGUCUGCCUCUCACCCUCUCUCUUCCCUCUUUCCCCCUCUCCCUCUCUUUUUCCCUCUAUCUCUCUCUUUCUCUUCUUUUUUGUUCUUAAAAUUCCGAUUUGGGUUGGAGAAUCUAAGUAUGUUUAAAAGCCGCCUCUUUUUCCCUCGCUUAUAAAGUGACUUAUUCUGUGUUUCUGUUUUAUGUAAGCACCUGUAUUCUUGGCUUUUCUUAAAAUCAAUGUAAUGUCAAUUUUUUUGUUUCAGCUAUUUUGGUGAUUGCUUCAUUAUCUCCUCAACAAAGACCCUUUACUUUUGCCAUUCAACUGUAGAAGCAUGUCAUGCUUUUAUUUGAUGCAACACUCUAUGUUAACAAAAGGAAUAGUGUAAUUAAAAUUAGUUUAGUAUAAAAUAGUAUAUUUACAGUUCAUUAUUGCAAGGAUACAGUUUAUAAAUGCAAAAUAGUGAUUUUUUUGAAAUAAGCUUUGCAGUACAGGGAUUGUGAAAUCUCUAGGAAUAACUUUUAUAGCUUUUUAGAUCAGGUGGCUAGUUAUAGCUAUGUGUUUGUAAAGUUUUUUUUUUUUUAAUAUUUUGAGAUUACAGUUUUUUAACAAAUGUCGAACUGGUUCAAACUAUUUAAAUUUUGAAAUAAUAAGACAAAAUUAAACUUAAUAGCCAACCAAAUUCCAGGCUACAUUUCACAGCUGAUUUCAGUCAAUGAAUUUUCUAUCCGUACUAACCAUAUGGACAUUUUUAAAGUAUUUCUGAUAUUUAGGAUUGUUAAUAAUAUGCCUAUUUUGAAUUCACAGGAUUGGCUUAUAACAAUUAUUUUUAAAAAUUAACACUGGGUAAUUUAUUCAAUAAUCAGUUUAUCUUUUCAAUAGUUUCAUCACUACUCAGUCAAAAAUACUAUUUCUCAAAGUUAUUUUUAAUAAAUUAUGUAUAAAAUUCUUGUAUAUUACUAGU
Delphinapterus leucas (beluga whale) is the source of this 5006-nucleotide long non-coding RNA. NCBI's taxonomy places the organism in Eukaryota, Metazoa, Chordata, Mammalia, Artiodactyla, Monodontidae. The record is from Ensembl.